GACGAACGCUGGCGGUGUGCUUCACACAUGCAAGUCGAACGGGGUAGCAAUACCCAGUGGCGGACGGGUGAGUAACGCGUAGAAAUCUGCCUUGAGAUGGGGGAUAACAGUCCGAAGGACUGCUAAUACCGCAUAUGUAUGUAUCUCGACAGAGGUGUAUAUGAAAGGAGUAAUCCGUCUUAAGAUGAGUCUGCGUCCGAUUAGCUAGUUGGUAGGGUAAAGGCCUACCAAGGCGACGAUCGGUAGCUGGUCUGAGAGGAUGAUCAGACCACAAUGGGACUGAGACACGGCCCAUACUCCUACGGGAGGCAGCAGUGGGGAAUUUUGUGCAAUGGGGGAAACCCUGACACAGCGACACCGCGUGAGCGAAGAAG
This 374-nucleotide ribosomal RNA is filed under the name uncultured bacterium. RNAcentral describes it as "bacterial SSU rRNA". It matches the Rfam family "Bacterial small subunit ribosomal RNA", at positions 28 to 413 of the family's 1533-position model. The record is from RNAcentral.